AGAUCAGACAAGAAUACCCACUGAACUUAAGCAUAUCAAUAGCGGAGGA
This 49-nucleotide ribosomal RNA is filed under the name Astrothelium macrocarpum. RNAcentral's name for it is "partial 28S ribosomal RNA". Lineage: Eukaryota; Fungi; Ascomycota; Dothideomycetes; Trypetheliales; Trypetheliaceae. The record is from RNAcentral.